This 504-nucleotide ribosomal RNA is filed under the name uncultured Actinomycetes bacterium. RNAcentral's name for it is "bacterial SSU rRNA". It matches the Rfam family "Bacterial small subunit ribosomal RNA", at positions 355 to 851 of the family's 1533-position model. The record is from RNAcentral. Lineage: Bacteria; Bacillati; Actinomycetota; Actinomycetes.
UAGGGAAUCUUGCGCAAUGGGCGAAAGCCUGACGCAGCGACGCCGCGUGCGGGAAGAAGGCCUUCGGGUUGUAAACCGCUUUCAGGAGGGACGAAGCCACUCGGGUUAAUAGCCCAGAGGGUGACGGUACCUCCAGAAGAAGCCCCGGCUAACUACGUGCCAGCAGCCGCGGUAAUACGUAGGGGGCAAGCGUUGUCCGGAUUCAUUGGGCGUAAAGAGCGUGUAGGCGGCCAGGUAGGUCAGCUGUGAAAACUGGAGGCUCAACCUUCAGACGUCGGCUGAAACCAUCUGGCUAGAGUCCGGGAGAGGAGAGUGGAAUUCCUGGUGUAGCGGUGAAAUGCGCAGAUAUCAGGAAGAACACCCGUGGCGAAAGCGGCUCUCUGGAACGGUACUGACGCUGAGACGCGAAAGCGUGGGGAGCGAACAGGAUUAGAUACCCUGGUAGUCCACGCCGUAAACGAUGGGCGCUAGGUGUGGGAGGUGUCGACUCCUUCCGUGCCGAAG